This 460-nucleotide ribosomal RNA is filed under the name uncultured bacterium. Its description in RNAcentral is "partial 16S ribosomal RNA". It matches the Rfam family "Bacterial small subunit ribosomal RNA", at positions 338 to 795 of the family's 1533-position model. The record is from RNAcentral.
CCUACGGGGGGCAGCAGUGAGGAAUAUUGGUCAAUGGACGAGAGUCUGAACCAGCCAAGUAGCGUGAAGGAUGACUGCCCUAUGGGUUGUAAACUUCUUUUAUAUGGGAAUAAAAUGUUCCACGUGUGGGAUUUUGUAUGUACCAUAUGAAUAAGGAUCGGCUAACUCCGUGCCAGCAGCCGCGGUAAUACGGAGGAUCCGAGCGUUAUCCGGAUUUAUUGGGUUUAAAGGGAGCGUAGGUGGAUUGUUAAGUCAGUUGUGAAAGUUUGCGGCUCAACCGUAAAAUUGCAGUUGAAACUGGCAGUCUUGAGUACAGUAGAGGUGGGCGGAAUUCGUGGUGUAGCGGUGAAAUGCUCAGAUAUCACGAAGAACUCCGAUUGCGAAGGCAGUUCACUGGACUGCAACUGACACUGAGGCUCGAAAGUGUGGGUAUCAAACAGGAUUAGAUACCCGAGUAGUC